CCUACGGGAGGCAGCAGUGGGGAAUAUUGGGCAAUGGAGGAAACUCUGACCCAGCGACGCCGCGUGCGGGAUGAAGGCCUUCGGGUUGUAAACCGCUUUCAGUAGGGAAGAAGCGAAAGUGACGGUACCUACAAAAGAAGCACCGGCUAACUAUGUGCCAGCAGCCGCGGUAAUACAUAGGGUGCAAGCGUUGUCCGGAAUUAUUGGGCGUAAAGAGCUCGUAGGUCGUUUGUUACGUCGGAUGUGAAAACCUGAGGCUCAACCUCAGGCCUGCAUUCGAUACGGGCAAACUAGAGUUUGGUAGGGGAGACUGGAAUUCCUGGUGUAGCGGUGGAAUGCGCAGAUAUCAGGAGGAACACCAAUGGCGAAGGCAGGUCUCUGGGCCAAUACUGACACUGAGGAGCGAAAGUCUGGGGAGCGAACAGGAUUAGAUACCCUGGUAGUCCAGACCGUAAACGGUGGGCACUAGUUGUGGGAACCUUCCACGGUUUCUGCGACGCAGCUAACGCAUUAAGUGCCCCGCCUGGGGAGUACGAUCGCAAGAUUAAAACUCAAAAUGAAUUGACGG
This 568-nucleotide ribosomal RNA is filed under the name uncultured bacterium. Its description in RNAcentral is "bacterial SSU rRNA". It matches the Rfam family "Bacterial small subunit ribosomal RNA", at positions 338 to 916 of the family's 1533-position model. The record is from RNAcentral.